Molecule: ribosomal RNA, 758 nt
Filed under: uncultured bacterium
Lineage: Bacteria
Description: bacterial SSU rRNA
Rfam family: Bacterial small subunit ribosomal RNA
Source: RNAcentral
GCAGUCGACGGCAGCACGGACUUCGGUCUGGUGGCGAGUGGCGAACGGGUGAGUAAUAUAUCGGAACGUGCCCAGUCGUGGGGGAUAACGUAGUGAAAAUUACGCUAAUACCGCAUACGAUCUAAGGAUGAAAGCGGGGGAUCGCAAGACCUCGCGCGAUUGGAGCGGCCGAUAUCAGAUUAGGUAGUUGGUGAGGUAAAGGCUCACCAAGCCAACGAUCUGUAGCUGGUCUGAGAGGACGACCAGCCACACUGGAACUGAGACACGGUCCAGACUCCUACGGGAGGCAGCAGUGGGGAAUUUUGGACAAUGGACGCAAGUCUGAUCCAGCCAUUCCGCGUGCAGGACGAAGGCCUUCGGGUUGUAAACUGCUUUUGUACGGAACGAAAAGGUCUCUCUUAAUACGAGGGGCUCAUGACGGUACCGUAAGAAUAAGCACCGGCUAACUACGUGCCGGCAGCCGCGGUAAUACGUAGGGUGCAAGCGUUAAUCGGAAUUACUGGGCGUAAAGCGUGCGCAGGCGGUUAUAUAAGACAGAUGUGAAAUCCCCGGGCUCAACCUGGGAACUGCAUUUGUGACUGUAUAGCUAGAGUACGGUAGAGGGGGAUGGAAUUCCGCGUGUAGCAGUGAAAUGCGUAGAUAUGCGGAGGAACACCGAUGGCGAAGGCAAUCCCCUGGACCUGUACUGACGCUCAUGCACGAAAGCGUGGGGAGCAACAGGAUUAGAUACCCUGGUAGUCACGCCCUAACGAUGUCAC